This 972-nucleotide ribosomal RNA is filed under the name Takayama helix. Its description in RNAcentral is "partial large subunit ribosomal RNA". It matches the Rfam family "Eukaryotic large subunit ribosomal RNA", at positions 64 to 939 of the family's 3401-position model. The record is from RNAcentral. Lineage: Eukaryota; Dinophyceae; Gymnodiniales; Kareniaceae.
ACUAAAUAGGAUUCCCUCAGUAAUGGCGAAUGAACAGGGAUCAGCUCAGCAUGGAAAUUGGGGCCUCUGGCCUUGAAUUGUAGUCUUGAGAUGGCUUCGCCAGCGGAGGCGCAGAUGUAAGCCUCUUGGAAAAGAGCAUCAAUGAGGGUGAGAGUCCCGUUUGUCAUCUGCAGUCCCCCGUGCACGGCUUGCUUUCUAAGAGUCACGUUCCUUGGGAUUGGAGCGCAAAUUGGGUGGUAAAUUUCAUCUAAAGCUAAAUAUUGGUUCGAGACCGAUAGCAAACAAGUACCAUGAGGGAAAGGUGAAAAGGACUUUGAAAAGAGAGUUAAAAGUGCCUGAAAUUGCUGAAAGGGAAGCGAAUGGAACCAGUUUUUCUUGGCGAGAUUGUUGCGUGCUAAUGUGAUGGCUUGUUGCUUCAACGCAAGUGUUGCAGCGGGUUUUGAUCUGGACGUGCGCGGUGCUUCUUGCCUUGUGUGUCAACGUCGGUUCAGACUUGAGGAAAACUCCAGGGACAUGGUAAGUCACUUCUGGGUGACUGAAAGUGCUUGGCAGAACUCAUUUCUGAACUGAACUCCGCAUGUCUGGUCGCAGUGCUCUCAUUUCCCAUGUCUCGUUCGGAGCUUUGCGCUCUGACCUGGGCUGGGGCGUGGGGCAUCUCCCUGACAUCAGUACGAUGACAAAAUGGUUUUAUUCGACCCGUCUUGAAACACGGACCAAGGAGUCUAACAUAUGUGCAAGUUCACGGGUGUUAAACCUGCUUGCGCAAUGAAAGUGACUGCUGGGAUAUUUGCACCAGCAACCGACCAAUCAAUUGUGAGAGGUUUGAGUAUGAGCAUAUCUGUUAGGACCCGAAAGAUGGUGAACUAUGCCUGAGAAGGGCGAAGUCAGGGGAAACUCUGAUGGAGGCUCGUAGCGAUACUGACGUGCAAAUCGUUCGUCAUACUUGGGUAUAGGGGCGAAAGACUAAUCGAA